Molecule: RNA transcript, 4139 nt
Organism: Tripterygium wilfordii
Lineage: Eukaryota; Viridiplantae; Streptophyta; Magnoliopsida; Celastrales; Celastraceae
Exons: 4
Source: RefSeq, a predicted model, not a curated record
GACUCUUCGUCGGCCGUGUCAAACGACUCUUCCCCUUCGUUUAUCUUCUGCUGCACGCUUUCAUUCAACAGAUCCAUGCAUCUCUCUUAUUGAUUGUGCGCCUCUUCUUAUCCCCAUGAUUCAUGCUUCUCCUGCGAUUGAUUUGGGUUUCUUUAAUUGAUUUCUUGGGCAAAGAGACGCCUCUGCAAUUGAAUUAACAGGUUUCAUCAUGGUGAAUCACCCGCAAGCUUUGGUAGUCCCUCCCCUUUUUUUUUUCUCGAUCUCUAUGAAACUAUCAUAAUGUCUUGCUUUAUAGAUAUUCAGAUUUUUUUCCCUUCAUAAAUACCUUUUGUUCAAGAUCUGAACAAAAAAUCACCCACAACAUAAUUUGGUAAGUUUGUCUCUAUUUUUGUUUCGUCUCUAUGUUUUUUUGUCUGAAUUUUUUGGCCUGCUUUCUUGAGUGGGAUUUCUGUUCACACACAAUUUUUUUUGUAUUCUUCAAGAAUUCCUUUUUUUGCCGCAUGUCAAUUUGGUUCUCCUUUAUCUUCUGCUUAUUCUCCAAUUCCACUAAAAAAACCAUUUUCUUUUAUCCUCUUUUGAGUCUCACUAUAAAUGGUGAGGAAUUGUAUCUUUGCGGGUUUCAUCAUGGUUAGGAUCUUGGUUGCCGAGGUUCUAUGGCUUGGCUUUGGUUUCUUUUAUGAUGCCUGGUAGAUCUUUCUUUCAUACGAAUAUUGUGCUUGGAUCAAUCACAACUUUGAGGAAGUGAAUGCCAACUCCCAGUAAUGCGACAAGAAAAGGCAUAUAUGCAGAUGUGUUUUCAUGUGAGGAAAUAUUAAUUAUGUUCUUUAUGAACUGCCAAUAGGGUCUUUGUAAUGUUUUUGUUGGUUAUUAUUUCAUGUUAAUCUUAAUAAAUAACCAUCAGAAAUUUAAAAGAAACAUAUGUAGUCACUUGUGGCCUUUUUACUUUUCUGUUCCACUUAUCUUUUCCUUGGUCUGGUCUGCUUUCAAUUGUUUUUAAUGUGGUCAUCUUGACCAUGUACCUUUCAAAUGGUUUAAUUGCUUAGAUCAAAGAGCUUUGGACAUGUACAUGCGUGUGGAACAACCAUCUCUUGAGCAGGGGAACAUUACUGUCUGAGAUCACCAAAGUGAAAUGAAUGAUGUUGUUUGAUUUGGGAAAAUGUUUUCUGUCAUUCAUUCAUAGUGGCUAAUGUUCCCAAUAAAUGUAUUGCUUCAAUGUUCUAAUUGUAACAAUUAUUAGUGGGAAUUAGUCCUAACCUUUCUUGAGAAUUUAGUUUCAAUGAACAAUUAUUUCCUUUGUUUAACAUGGUAUACGGGUUUAUAUUGGCCCAUUUACUUGGUUUUCCAGUAUCACUUGCUUGAUUACAUCUUAGUUUAAUGGAUAACACAAUUAAUAUGAGUAAUGGUCGGUAUAUGCUGAUAUAAAUGUCGAAUAAUUUUGGUGGUUUUGUGCAGUCUUACUGAAUAAAAGUUGUAUAUGGUGGAAUCCCAAGUCUAUAUAGAAGCAGCAAUGGCUCUUUUUCUCAAGCCGAAGGCUGUUACAUGCAGUUUAAAUCUAUAAAAAUUUCAUUUACUAUCUUGGAUGCAGUUCACUACUUCUCAACCAUAUUUCAUUUGCUUUUUAAAAACUCUGGGUUGUCAAAAGAUGACUUUGCUUUGUAUAUGUAUGCCUUUAGUAUUUGGCAUACUAUAAUUGUUCGUGUCUCCUCAAUAUGUCUGUAAAGUUUACUGGUGUUCCACUCAUUCUUUUAGUUGCACUGGCAGACAAAAUUGCAAUUGUGCUAAUAGGAGUUGCUAAUGAUUUGCUCUUCAUUUGUUUCUUCCAUGUAUGGAAUUGCUGUGUUGGAAGAUGUGUUAAAUAAUGUGAAUGUAGAGUAGACAAUGUUUACAUAUUGGAUAUCUUUGCAGUGGUGAUCAGGAACUUAGUUACCAAGAACUUCCUACGAAAUGAGUCUGGCAAUGCUUUAUUUUACCAUUAUAUUUAUUUCUCCGUUAUUUGAUCUAUUGGAAUUCUUAUGUUCAUAUAGCAUUUGUGACAACAUAGAGAUCAUGUUUGGUUUCGUUAAGAAGACUAAGUGUGUGAUGAUAUGAAUGUUAGACACAACUUACAAUCAAAUAUGGCAAAUUCACAGUCUACUAUCCAAACAACUUUGUACUUCUAUUAGCCCGAGGUGCAGAGUACGCAUUUUGAUCGAGUUGAAUAAAUUUAUGAUUAUAUGCCGCGCGAAGCGUGGACACGUAACUAGUACAUAUAUAAUUACGGAGUCCUGAGGCGGAAAUAGAGACUCCUCAGUCAUCCACGUCAGCUUCCAAACUCUAUGUAAUAAAGACACCUGGAAAUUUGUUACAAAAAUCAAAUUUAAAAAAAAUACAAGUUUGACUUACGCUGAGAAAGUCUAAUAUUCUCAUUGACGCUUCUUCUUCCUCUGGGCGAUUCGUGAAUGUGAAUUAAUGCUUCUUCCUCUUCUCAAGUAAUCUGAAUGUGAAUUAAGUAUUCUUCGUCUUUCUAAGAAAUCGGUUGGGUCUUCAAACUCUAUUCGAUUCCGUGCAUGUAUCUAAAGCGCUUUGAUCGGUGUUCUGUACCUGAGCAUCGAAGGAGAAGGAGUGGAAAUAUCUGGACUAAUAUUGGCUUGCUUUUCCGACUUGACCUUUAAGUAUUCAGGUAGAGAAUUAAAGGCUCAAUGGAUGGCUGCUUCUCAGUCUGUUGGAUCUCUGAUUGCAAUUGUUCGUAUGGUGGUAUGCAGAUCAUCCUGUAUGUUUUCAGUUUAUUUGUCGAAUAUUUGCAUCUCUUAUUAAGUUGAUUUGCUAUCAUUGGGGUACUUGACUGAAAAUUUUGCAAUUUCCAUUUAGAGAGUUUGCACUAAAACAAUAUAUCACAUGUAGCAAAUCUUCAUUUAUAUAUAGUUUCAUAUGUAUUACAAAGCAUAUUUACAACCCGGUAGUGCUAAUUUGUGAAUUCUUUUAGUGCUCCGUUCAUCGCUUUUUUAUCGAUGUUAUGAAUUUAUUACCAUUGAUUUUCUCACUGUCUCAGACUUUUCAAAUUUCUGUUUUGAAUGUUUAAAUGUUUAUCUAUAAAGUAUGGAAUGAAAUCCGGAUACAAUAGGCAUUGUGCUCUAUAUGCAGGUAGGGUAUCACUUUUAAAAUUGUAAGCUAAUGAACAUGAAGUCAAGUGGAUGACUUGCAUCAGUAAAAGACUCCUCUAUUUGGCUAUUUGUUCAACAUGUUAAUGCUUCCUCAUUGGGAAAGAAACUAUACCCCAAAUCAUCAUGUUUCAUCGAAUUAACUAAUAAUACAAGUCAAGAGGAUAACAUGAUUUAUUAAGACUGAAGGUAAUUAUUAACCUCUGAUUGCCUGAAUACCCAUUUUUUAUUGGAUUGAACCUGGGUUGAAAUCUCCCCAUUUGACUGCCACACCUAUUUUUAAACCUUUAUACAAAAGAUCACAAGUUAUUGAUACUAACCAACAUGGUUUAUAUUAAGCUUUCAAGUUCAUGAAUUUUCUAUGCCUAGCAGUCUCUGACUAUUUUUUAAAUUUCUUUAUGGAACACUCUUAAUAUCUGUGUUUUUCAACUUGAUGUCCUCUACAGGUGAUAUGGCUAGAAGAGAGCGCAAGCAUUAAGUUUCAGAGGUUACUAUUCCCUGACAAGGCCGUCAGGGAAAUAUACAAUUUAACUUCACUGUAGAUUUGGUGAGUGUCCAAUUUAAAUGCGUGGCACAUGUAUUGGUCCUUAUCUUAUGGCAUCAUUGAGUUAAUAUGCGACAUCAUAGUUAUCACCCCUUUGUAUUUGGAUUUGUUAUCUUAAAUUGUGCAUUUGAGUAUCAAAUUUGGUCUGCCAAUAUAAGGCACUUUUUUAGGCCUUUGUCUGUUGAUUAUUAAACUAGCUGACCUGAAGUUGCAGAUGAGUCUAGGAUCCUUAAAUGCUGAUGAGACAUUCUAUUUAUCAUUCAAGUUACAUUCUAAUUUACAAAUUGCUACGCUUGCUUGAAUUUUGAUACUUACAAAAAAAGUUGUUUUAUUUUGCUGUUCACGCUUCCAAUAGGUUGCAGACAUCUUUGUUGUGUGCAAUAUGUGAUGAAUUAUGCACAGCUAUAAGACAUGUACACCCAAUUUAAUUCGGGUAACUGAUAUGUUGUUAAGAACAG